Molecule: RNA transcript, 1792 nt
Organism: Cucumis melo (muskmelon)
Lineage: Eukaryota; Viridiplantae; Streptophyta; Magnoliopsida; Cucurbitales; Cucurbitaceae
Exons: 2
Source: RefSeq, a predicted model, not a curated record
UCUUUUGAAAUACUAUUUAUAAUUAUGACAAUUUACCGAAUGUUUUCUUGGUCGCUAAGGUACGAGGAAAGAGCAAUGGGAGCUCCCACUCUGAAUCUCAGCUUCUUGAGAUGGCUUUCAGCCUCUUCCUCGAUAAGGCCCUCUCCGCCAUCGACAACUCUGAUCCAGCUCGGGCAUUGCUUAGACUGAUCAUGAGCCCAUCUGAUGACGAUCAAUGUCCACCGGCACUGCUUAUACUCGCAAUUUCAAGUAGCCAUUGCAGGUCUAUAGUAUUCGUAUGAUGCUGCCAGUGUUCGUGGCGAUGCUGGGAUUUCAUUAAGUUUGCACGUGUAAUGCCCUAGAUCCAAGAUCCAACACUAGUUGACCUCUGCUUUCCUUGUGACCUUGCAACGUCAUCUACUUGUUCUAAACAUCUUUCAAGAGUGAAGACCAUUCCCACAAAUCAACAAUGGUCCUUUCAACAUGAUUUUGUCUUUAUUCACAUGCUUCCUAAGUAAAUUCACAAGAAGGUCACUCAACAUUGAAUUGCUCCAAGCUUAAACAUACAAUUUCGGAGUUAUUAUAAUUGAGUCACCGAAAAGGAAAGUAUACGUUGUUGCUAUAUAUUACUACUUUCAAUUGUUUUAAGCAUUUUUUAACUCCUUUCAUUUGGAUGUGAACUCGGUUUAUUUAUAUUUUCUUCUACACUUGAGGCGUUAGAAUAAGGACCAGCUACCAUGAGAAGAUAUGGGACCAUCCUGCUGGUGUUAUCCUUGUACAAGCAGUGGAAAGUAUUGUUACAGAUGCCAGAUGUGGUCUCUUGGAUUUCUCCAAGGUAGUGUACUUAGAAGGUCCCAAUUGGGGAAUAAUUGGAAAAUCAUUGGAGUUAUCUAUGCCAGUUGGGAUUCUUCUAGCCUAUAAAAUCUUUUGCCUACACAUGAUUCCCUCGGCUGACUAGUCUUCGUGAUUGAAAGGAUCAUCGUAACUGUAAGGUACUUGUUUCAUCCAAAAUUGAUACUUCCUAUUACAAUCUUAUCUCGUUGAGCCAUCUAAAUAAACUUUGUCAUAUCUUCUGAUUGGCUGGCUGCAAUGUGAUCAAAUAUUCUUGGCAUUUGUUCUACUAUAUUACUUUCUAAGUAGAACAGAUCUGAUUUAAUUUAAUCCAUGCAUACAUACAGAAAGAAACAAAGAGGAAUGCUUUGGAAAUGGAUCAGAGAAAGAUUCUCAUCCGAACCCCACCUCUUUCUCCAGCUGAAAAACCAAACUAACACAUGCUUUUGCAUUUAAAAACUUCCAACUUUUUGGAGGAUCUUUUCAAACUAUUACAAGAUCAAGGUACCAACUAAUCAUACAAUUUAAAACAACCAUUAUUCCUUUUUGUUCUUUUUUUUUUCUUCUUAUCCUCCAGAAGUCAAUUAUUCCAUAGCCACAACUUAUGUUAUGAACUUGACCUUUUAUACAACAUAUGGUUUGAAAAUUGUUUGUUAUUAAAUUGCCUAUGCCUUUAUUAUAAUAGGACUGUCAACACAACAAUAAUUUGUUUAAAAAAAUGAUGAGGGUAAGUUUGAAAAGUAUGAUUAUUUAAAUAAGCAUGGUUUUAAUUAGGUGUAUAGUCUUAUAUGGGUUAGGUAGAUCUAUUUGUUCAAGGCAAAAAUUUAAUGCAUUUGUUGACUUAGGUGCAAAACCCACAGAGGAGAACAUGUGUUUGCUCCUUAUUACACACUUUAAAAUUAGUCGGUUCUUGUAAUAAAACCCACAGAUAGCCAAAACUUGUCAAAUUAGUCAUUAAUUAUAUAUAUCAUGUAAUUUCUUA